Molecule: ribosomal RNA, 792 nt
Filed under: Escherichia coli
Lineage: Bacteria; Pseudomonadati; Pseudomonadota; Gammaproteobacteria; Enterobacterales; Enterobacteriaceae
Description: partial 23S ribosomal RNA
Rfam family: Bacterial large subunit ribosomal RNA
Source: RNAcentral
UGUGAGCUCGAUGAGUAGGGCGGGACACGUGGUAUCCUGUCUGAAUAUGGGGGGACCAUCCUCCAAGGCUAAAUACUCCUGACUGACCGAUAGUGAACCAGUACCGUGAGGGAAAGGCGAAAAGAACCCCGGCGAGGGGAGUGAAAAAGAACCUGAAACCGUGUACGUACAAGCAGUGGGAGCACGCUUAGGCGUGUGACUGCGUACCUUUUGUAUAAUGGGUCAGCGACUUAUAUUCUGUAGCAAGGUUAACCGAAUAGGGGAGCCGAAGGGAAACCGAGUCUUAACUGGGCGUUAAGUUGCAGGGUAUAGACCCGAAACCCGGUGAUCUAGCCAUGGGCAGGUUGAAGGUUGGGUAACACUAACUGGAGGACCGAACCGACUAAUGUUGAAAAAUUAGCGGAUGACUUGUGGCUGGGGGUGAAAGGCCAAUCAAACCGGGAGAUAGCUGGUUCUCCCCGAAAGCUAUUUAGGUAGCGCCUCGUGAAUUCAUCUCCGGGGGUAGAGCACUGUUUCGGCAAGGGGGUCAUCCCGACUUACCAACCCGAUGCAAACUGCGAAUACCGGAGAAUGUUAUCACGGGAGACACACGGCGGGUGCUAACGUCCGUCGUGAAGAGGGAAACAACCCAGACCGCCAGCUAAGGUCCCAAAGUCAUGGUUAAGUGGGAAACGAUGUGGGAAGGCCCAGACAGCCAGGAUGUUGGCUUAGAAGCAGCCAUCAUUUAAAGAAAGCGUAAUAGCUCACUGGUCGAGUCGGCCUGCGCGGAAGAUGUAACGGGGCUAAACCAUG